Long non-coding RNA from Myotis lucifugus (little brown bat), 577 nucleotides. RefSeq lists it as uncharacterized. The record is from RefSeq and is a predicted model, not a curated record. NCBI's taxonomy places the organism in Eukaryota, Metazoa, Chordata, Mammalia, Chiroptera, Vespertilionidae. The transcript has 2 exons.
GUUGACCAGGAGCUGAAAGGGCACCCGAGCGGCGCCGCCGGCGUUAGAGGCCUCGCACUCGUACUUGCCAGCGUGGGCCAGGGUGAUGUUGCGGCUCAACGUGCACAGAAGGUGGGAUGCAGAUGAGGCUGCUGCCAGAGACGUCCAGGAGACUCUGGAGGGCCAGGCGUGGAGGCUCUGCGCACACGAUCUUCCUGUCCCUGGAGCUGAGCAACCUCUGCCCCGCCUCCUUGAGCCAGUCUCCCAGCCAGUGCAGCGCGCAGUCACAGCGCCAUGGGUUCUCUGUGGACAGAGCAGCGGUGAGCAGGUAGCCCAGGGGCAGCUGCGACCACAGCCUGUGCAAUUGGGGUUCCACUGGCCAGAGCAGGAGCCCCUUCACUACCCCCCCCCCCCGCCCCGAGUCAGGGACCCCUGCCACCCCUGCACAAGCUCCUUGGAGUGUGGGCCGAGUCUUCCCUGGCCCCUUCAGUUCACGAUAUCUAGGCAGUCUCUUGUCCCUCCCAGUCCUACUAUUUGGGGGGAACCCUGGUGUCCACAUAGACAUCUCACCACCACUAAAACCUUGCAAAUACUGUCA